CACAAGGGGAACACCCUCUCACAGUAAUUUUUAAAUGGACCGUGUUACCCACAUUCAUAUAAGAAUACGUAAACAGACUUAAAGAGAUUAAGAAACUGGCCUAUGGUCUUGAAGCUAGUUAAUGAAAAUGCUAUAUAUAAUUAUCCUCUCCCACCCCAAAUCUAGUCCUAUUAUUUCCUCUCCAUUCUUUCAUCUUGCUCCUCUGAGCCUAAAACCUAGAACUCAUUCUUGAUUUGCACCCCCUCUAUGAAGGUAAUUACUCACCAAGGUGUAGCUUUUCAUGCUACCUUCUAAACGUCUCCUCUUCUCAAAAUAUCUCUGAAAUCUUUCCCAACUUCUUCUUCGACCACUGCAUCAAUUUAAAGACCAUUAAAAUUAUACGGACUUCUGAAUUAGACCAUAUAAUAUUCUGCCUCGAUUAUUUCAAAAAACUUUCUCUUGCCUUCCCUUUAAUCUGCUCUCCAUGUUAUAUCAGAGCCAUCUUGCCAAAUCCAAAUUUUAUCAUGCACUCCUUCCCUAAAGCCCCUGAGUAGCUCUAUAUUGCUUUCAAGAGAAAUUCCUAGGAAUUGCUUUCAAGAGAAAUUCCUGGGUAUUCAGGCACAACCUUCAGUCUUGCAUAUUAGGAAUUAUAUGAGGGCUUUGUGAUAUUAUUUGUACCCACAUACUGAGUGUCCCUUUUUGUCUUUCCAAACUCAUAUACUAUACCAAAACCUUACCAAAUUAUUUUUCCCCAGUUGUCCAUUUUCUUAUGCAUCUAUAUUUUGGGGGAAUGCCUUCAAUCCCUUUGUUCUAGUCCACCUUCUUCACCUGGUCCUGUGUUCUAUAUCAGUUAAGCCAUCACUUCCUCUACCAGCUAUCCUUUCAUGUCUUUCCAUGACCCACCAUUCUUCUCCCCACCUGGGUAUAAGUUUCAUAAUGUAUUAUAAUUGUCCAUUUACAAAUCUGUCUUCCUAGCUCAUACUGAAAACUGCUUGAGGCAAAAUAGCAGGUUUUUGUUCUGUUGAUUCUCUCAUUUUAUCCCAAUUAAAAUUUCACAUUAGGAGUGCCUAAGGAAUUUAUUGUACUCCUCUUGCAAGUGCUACAGCUUAAUGCAACAUCUGCCAGUGUCAUUGGAGGGAUAAAAGCAUAAGCAAAUGAAAAACAAAAUUAAUGAUUCAAACCAUAACUGAAAACUAUCUUCAAAAGUAAUCUUGAAUUUUCAAAAAUGAGAAAGAGUUUGAUGGGGUGAUUGAUCCAAUAUUAGAACCAGUAAAAAUAAUUACAAACAGACUGGUACGAGAAUUUGCAUAUCUUUCUGGGUUGCGAUCUAGUGGCGAAGGGAGCCAGAUGAGGUAUUGGUUCAUGUUGCAGGCAUGACUGCCCAGCAGGUGCUUGCUAUAUAGGCAAGAGGUAGAGGGCAAGAUAAGAUUAGGGAAGGACAUGCACCAUGAUAGGAGAGUCUGAUCUAGUUUUAAAUUCUUCCUUCUUUUGGAAAACAAGGACUGGCGAGUAAGUGCUGGAAACUAGAGAGUAAGAAGUAUCAUAACACUCAGCUCAGUUUUAACAGCUGUUUAAAUAAGAUUGGAUUUAAUACAGUAGAUCUCAAAAAAUUGGUGUAUAUGAGAAUAACCAGGAAUGUUUGAUAAUCAGGACACUCAAGAUGGCUGUUCUUCUGCUCUCAGUACAUCCCCUGUUCAACCAGUCCCUGCCUUACCUACACCCUGACUAAACAUCCCUCUUAAUCAUAGACCCUACCCAGUUAAAUGCCUACAUACUUGCUCCUGGCCCUAGUUAGUGAUUAUUCUAAUCUUCAGAUCAGAACCUACCAAAAUAACUUAUCAAAGGGCAGGGAGGAAUGUGCUCCUCUGCUGUUUGCCUUGGUAACUGAUGAAUCAUCCUGACAUCAUUUGGUAACCACUGUCUCCAUCUGUCUGUCUCCACACUGUCCCAUCCCCACUGCCAGCAAAGACUACUGACAUGGCCUGCCCUAUUUUCUGCCACACAUGAGCCAGGUGUUACUCCAGGACUUUGCUUCAGACAUGUAAAGUCCCCCAUCAUUAAACCAUUGAUGUCUCCAUCACUGACUCUGGGCUUUUUUUUUUUUUUUUUGUCUUGAGGCUGGGCACAAAUAGGGCUUGCAGGCCUAUGGGGUGCGGAACAGCAGUGCUUAACUCAGUACUUAUAAUGCCUUAACUCAGUACUCUUUUAAGAAACUCAUUGUUAAUCAUAUUGUUGUUACAAUUAUCUUCAUCAUUAUUGUCAACAUAACUCUUAUGGUUUUCCCAAUUUACAUUUGUACCUUUUUCUUCCCACCCCACUGAUUACGUAAAAUUUUAAUCCUUUCUAAAUACAGACUUUGUUUUAAUCCCUUCUAAGAAGUUAUUUAAAAUUUAUCUACUCUUAUCCUGAUGACUGGGAGGGUCACUAGUUCCCUAAUGAUAUUAUUCUGUUUUUAUGUACUCUUUUAGAUAUAUAAGAAUAGUAGACUAUCUUCAAUGUAGUGGCUGACAUUUUCUGAUUCAGACUUAAAGUUCUCCUCUAGAUACUUUUGAAAUAGGGUUAUAAAGCUCUUAAAUGUUUCAUGGUCCUUCAGCUGAUCAAUUUCCUCUCCCUGCCCUGCCUUGGAUUCUAACUUCAAAAUUGUUCAGUGUUUUUUUGUGAAUCUUCUGUUUUGUAAAAAAAAUUUAAAUUUUUUUUUUUUUUUUUUUUUUUUUUUGCUUUUUAGGGCCACACUUACAGCAUAUGGAAGUUUCCAGGCCAGGGGUUGAGUUGGAGUUACAGUUACUGGCCUAUGGACAGCAACAGGGGAUUCGAGCUGCAUCUGUGACCUAUACCAUAGCUCACAGAAACACUGGAUCCUUAAUUCACUGAGUGAGGCCAGGGAUCAAACCAGCAUCCUCAUGGUUACUAGUCUGAUUCAUUUCCAAAGAGCCAUGACGGGAACUCCUGCACCUUCUAAUAAUGUCAUCUAUUCCUUGUCACUACAUCAUCUAAUUUUUCUUCUUUGAAGUUUGAAUUACUCUUCUUUAAAAUUCUGGGGAAUUAUGCUAUCAAAUAUGUCAGUUUCUCCGGACAACACUGGAAUGAGGAGUCAAGCUUUUUAGUUGCCUUCUUACUGUCCAUGUCCUUUAGCCAAAGACCACCAGGAAGUCAUCUGUGGUUGAAAAGUUGAGUUCAUUAUUUAUUACAACGAGGGAGGUAUGUGGCAUAGGGAACCAAGAGUGACUUGUUCAGUAAGUGUUAAAAAGAAUCUCUUAGAGAAUUUGAACUUUGGUUGAGUGAUUUGAGGAGAAGGUUUAAGAAAGUAGAACUUGUCCUGAACUGAAUGUUGUCAGGAAGUAGGAUAAUAUUACAAUUUAGAGUAGCCCAUGUUAGCUGGAAAAGAGGGGCAUGUGGUAUCUGUGGCCUAGACAACACUCAUAAUUGGUCUGUUUUCAGACACAAUUACAGAGACUCUUAUUUUUAUCUUGAUUCCUUGUUAUCAUAGAGUGCCCUGGUCUAGAGCUGAUGUUCUAUGAAAUUGUUUAUGCUCAACAAGAGGAUACCAAGGCCAGGCCGUGAGGGCCAGGCCGUGAGUGCCAGGCCAGUGUUCAGAGAAAACAAGGCCUAAACAGAUAGCACUCAGCCAGGUCCUGGAUAUCAGGGGAUGUUUCCUCUUUCUCAUGAUAAAAUUCUUUGUUUCUUCAGUAAUUAAACCUACUUCCAUGAAAUCCUCUUUGCAUAAUUUUGGUGAUAAAAUCCUAAUAGAGUUUCUUUGUAAUUUCCUCCCUAAGGCCUGUGCUAUGUUCAACACAUGGAGUAUUUUAACACAAGAUUUCACUCCUCUUACGUUAGCAAUAUGAUGAUCAAUAAGAAUCACACAAGGAAGAGAUUAAUCUAUAGUAACUAUAAUGCGCAUAAAUUGUUUAGGAAAUUUAUUAGCUUCUUUUUACUUAUGUGAUUAUGAUAGACUAUUAUUAACAUAAGUCUUGCUUAAAGAAAAGAACAUCUAGUAAAUGAUUCAAGUUCAUGAUUGAAUAACGUUCAACAUUUAAGUAACAUGUGGACUUAAAAUGAGUAGAAAUAUUGACAAAUGUCCUAUGCUAAUCAUUUUCUUUGUAGGUUAUUAUAAGUCUGUAGAAAUGUUCCAGGGUGGGGCUCUGGGAAAAGGCAGAGAUGUAAUAAGGCUGUAUAAAUUAUGCUCAAUUCUGAAAGUCACACAUGAUAAAAAUUAUCUUUCUAUAAUGUACUAUUUAAGAUAUUUGAAAUAUUGUUAAAUAUACCACUUUCUUCAACUUACACAUGUAUGCCUUUUUUUUUUGGUCUUUCUCUCUUUUUAGGGCCACACCUGUGGCAUACAGAGGUUCCCAAGCUAGGGGUCCAAUCGGAGCUAUAACUGCCAGCCUAUACCAAGGCCAUAGCAACGCGGGAUCCGAGCCAUGUCUGCGACCUACACCAUGGCUCACAGCAAUGCCGGAUCCUUAACCCACUGAGCAAGGCCAGGGAUCGAACCUGCGUCCUCAUGGAUGCCAGUCAGGUUCAUUAACCACUGAGCCACGAUGGGAACUCCAUACAUAUGUGCUUUUUAAACAACAGCCAUAUAAUAAAGUCAAGGUUUCUGUCCUACACAUAAGAUUAACCUUUUUCAUCUUUUUUUGAUUGGUUUUAAAAUAGAAUAAUGGCAAUACAAAAGAAAGAGUUAUUUAUUUUCCAACUCUGUUUUAUUUAUCCUAUUGUCUUGUUAAUAACAGAAGCUGUUUUGAUUGAACUUCAUAGAGUUUUCCUGUUAGUUACCUUUGAAGAAAUGCUCUAAAUAAAGACGCUAAUUUUUAACUUUCUUCAUAAUGUUUACCCUUUUGCAUGAUCCUUAUUUCAUCUUUCCUAUUUUCAAGCAAAAUUUGUAGCUAUAUUUUAUGUGAGACAGAAAUAAUAAUUUACUGAACAGGAAAAUGAAAUUGAGAAUGUGAAGUUCCAGUUAAACAUUUUAACUUUUAAUUAGACAAGGCUUAAAUCUUUUCAAAGAUUACAGAUGCCCAUCACAGGCCUAGAUUUGGUUUAAUUCAAGCCUCUUAGAACCACUUUGGAUUCUUAAAUAUGAAUGGUUCAAUAAUUAAAUUAUAGUAGAAUCCUAGUAACAGGUUUAGUUCUUUGUUAACACUAAUAAAAGGGGAAUAAUAUCAAUCAAUAUCCAUUGGUUACUUGGAAAAUUAAUAUUUUCGGGAGUUGGUUCUUCUGUUUUAUGCAGGGCUUAAAUUUGCAUAAUGUCCUUUUGGAUUGUUUCUUCUUUAAUAUUAUUGUCUGGAGGUUGGCUGCAGAUGAACAUUUAUUACUGUUCUUUGUGUUGGUAAAAGGGAGUAUUUUGUGUGCCUAUUUGAAUAGCUUGAAUCUAUUUGAAAAUGAAAAUAAAAGAGGGUUAGAGUCAAUCAGUUUUCUUACCAAAAUAUUUCUGCAGUUGGUGUGUUUUUGCACUCUCGUUACACAUUACAGAUACCCUUAAAAGAGCUCUUGUGUGACUUAAUACCCAAAUAAAACGGCAGCUUUCUCUUUUUUUGCUUACAUCUAAUCCUUGUUUCUCCAGAGCAUGUCAGCCUUGGGGGCAAACAAUAGUAAAGGUUUUAAAGUACUCAGAACAUUUGUUUCCCACUGGCUUUAGGCUUAGAUUCUCUUCUCUCUUUAUCCUAUACUUCCUUAAACUGCCCCAAUGCAUUUAUAUUUAACGUACUUACUGGCCAAACAAUUUAAAUUAUAAACAUGUUCAACAGAAAGCAGCUUCAUAUAAUCACUUUCUUCAUUGCCUCUUCCUGACAAGGUCCAAUUACUGACCAGACUAAGGAAAUCAAAUGAUUGAUGUAUCCUGCUUAUUGCUCCAUGGCCAUUUGUAGCAGAGCCCUCCAUCUCUCGACCUUUGUUCCCCUCCUUUAUCCCCGUUCAUAUUUCUCUCAACUCCCAUGAUGCUGAGUGCUGCCCUGAUUCCACAAAUCCCAGCCUGGAAUGUGAAGUGGAGAAAAUGAGAAAUGAGAAGAUUAAAUACUUCCUAAUAUCAAUGAAGUAUGUGAGUGCCAUUGUUAUCUGCUCUGCUGUUUGCAAAGCAAAUACUAUGUUUGUCGCUUCACCCAGAGCCAAUAUAAAACAGGUGCUGUGUUCCUCAGUUCCUUUGGCCUUUAGCAUUUUGACUCUCCUUUUCCUGGGACUGCUACUUCAGUUCUUAGCCAGUUUCUAUUACUUCCCCUCUUUCUACCCUGUGUCAUGCUCUAAAGCACCAUCACAAACACACACAAAAACCCACAGAAACAAACAAACAAAAAUAAGGCCUGGCAAGUGUAUUUCUCUCACUCUUGAUGAUGGCUGUUAGGACUUUCUUUGCAGUUUUACAGACUUCUUUGCCAUGGCUGCCACCUCGAACUCAACCCAUGUAUCAACUAAUCCAAACUCUAUUUAAAAUGAGUCCACCUGCUCUUCGUUUGACUGCAUACAAGUCUUAAUUCAGAUCCUAUGUGUUUCCAGUGUUAUUUUAUUACUCUUGUAUGUGGAAUCUCAUUCCAACUUACUGCUUUUAGUAAUGAAUGCUCUGGGAGUUCCCAUUGUGGCUUAGUAGGUUACAAAUCUGACUAGUAUACAUGAAGAUGCAGGUGUGAUCCCUGGCCCCUCUCAGUGGGUUAAGGAUCCUGCAUUGCAGCAAGCUGCAGUGUAGGUCACAGAUAAGGCUUGGAUUUUGUGUUGCUGUGGCUGUGGCACAGGCCAGCAGCUGCAGCUAUUAUUCAACCCCUGACUCAUAACUUCCAUAUGCCACAUGUGUAGCCCUAAAAAGGAAAAAAUAAAAUAAAAAUUUAAAAAAAUUAUAAGUGAACACUCUGGAGUUCCCAUUGUCUCUCCACAAGUUAAGAACCCAAGAUAGUGUCUGUGAGGAUGUGGGUUCAAUCCUUGGCCUUGCUCAGUAGGUUAGGGAUCAGGCAUUGACAUAAGUUGUGAUGUAGGCUGGGAGCUGCAGAUUUGACUCAAACCUUAGUCUGGAAAUUUCAAUGUGCCCAAACAUGGCCCUAAAACAAAAGAAAGAAAGAAAAAAAAAA
RNAcentral lists this long non-coding RNA (7025 nucleotides) under Sus scrofa (pig). Its description in RNAcentral is "lncRNA (ENSSSCG00055016496.1)". Lineage: Eukaryota; Metazoa; Chordata; Mammalia; Artiodactyla; Suidae. The record is from RNAcentral.